This 330-nucleotide ribosomal RNA is filed under the name uncultured bacterium. RNAcentral describes it as "bacterial SSU rRNA". It matches the Rfam family "Bacterial small subunit ribosomal RNA", at positions 568 to 898 of the family's 1533-position model. The record is from RNAcentral.
UGCGCAGGCGGUUCGUGAUGUCUGAUGUGAAAGCCCCGGGCUCAACCUGGGAAUUGCAUUGGAAACUAGCGGGCUGGAGUGUGGCAGAGGGGGGUGGAAUUCCACGUGUAGCAGUGAAAUGCGUAGAGAUGUGGAGGAACACCGAUGGCGAAGGCAGCCCCCUGGGCUAACACUGACGCUCAUGCACGAAAGCGUGGGGAGCAAACAGGAUUAGAUACCCUGGUAGUCCACGCCCUAAACGAUGGCAACUGGGUGUUGGGGAAGCGAUUUCUCAGUACCGUAGCUAACGCGUGAAGUUGCCCGCCUGGGGAGUACGGCCGCAAGGUUAAA